This 118-nucleotide ribosomal RNA is filed under the name Pteropus alecto (black flying fox). The record is from RNAcentral. Lineage: Eukaryota; Metazoa; Chordata; Mammalia; Chiroptera; Pteropodidae.
CUGAACGGCCGCGCCCCCCUGCACGCGCCCGAUCCCGUCUGAUCUCGGAAGCUAAGCAGGGUCGGGCCUGGUGCGUACUCGGGUGGGAGGCCCCCCUGGGAAGACCGGGUGCCGCAGG